This 163-nucleotide ribosomal RNA is filed under the name Bauhinia championii. RNAcentral's name for it is "5.8S ribosomal RNA". It matches the Rfam family "5.8S ribosomal RNA". Rfam says of the family: 5.8S ribosomal RNA (5.8S rRNA) is a component of the large subunit of the eukaryotic ribosome. It is transcribed by RNA polymerase I as part of the 45S precursor that also contains 18S and 28S rRNA. The record is from RNAcentral. Lineage: Eukaryota; Viridiplantae; Streptophyta; Magnoliopsida; Fabales; Fabaceae.
CAAAUGACUCUUGGCAACGGAUAUUUUGGCUUUUGCAUUGAUUAAAAACGUAACGAAAUGCCAAACUUGGUGGGAAUUGCAAAAUCCCGUGAACCAUUGAGUCUUUUAACGCCAGGUGCGCCUGAAGCCAUUAAGGUGAGGGCACGUCUGCCUGGGUGGCAAA